RNAcentral lists this ribosomal RNA (742 nucleotides) under uncultured bacterium. Its description in RNAcentral is "bacterial SSU rRNA". It matches the Rfam family "Bacterial small subunit ribosomal RNA", at positions 571 to 1311 of the family's 1533-position model. The record is from RNAcentral.
GUAGGCGGUUGNUCGCGUCUGCUGUGAAAGGCUGGGGCUUAACCCUGGUUUUGCAGUGGGUACGGGCUAACUAGAGUGCAGUAGGGGAGACUGGAAUUCCUGGUGUAGCGGUGGAAUGCGCAGAUAUCAGGAGGAACACCGAUGGCGAAGGCAGGUCUCUGGGCUGUAACUGACGCUGAGAAGCGAAAGCAUGGGGAGCGAACAGGAUUAGAUACCCUGGUAGUCCAUGCCGUAAACGUUGGGCACUAGCUGUGGGGGACAUUCCACGUUUUCCGCGCCGUAGCUAACGCAUUAAGUGCCCCGCCUGGGGAGUACGGCCGCAAGGCUAAAACUCGAAGAAAUUGACGGGGGCCCGCACAAGCGGCGGAGCAUGCGGAUUAAUUCGAUGCAACGCGAAGAACCUUACCAAGGCUUGACAUAUACUGGACUGCGUCAGAGAUGGCGUUUCCCUUCGGGGCUGGUAUACAGGUGGUGCAUGGUUGUCGUCAGCUCGUGUCGUGAGAUGUUGGGUUAAGUCCCGCAACGAGCGCAACCCUCGUUCUAUGUUGCCAGCACGUGAUGGUGGGGACUCAUAGGAGACUGCCGGGGUUAACUCGGAGGAAGGUGGGGAUGACGUCAAAUCAUCAUGCCCCUUAUGUCUUGGGCUUCACGCAUGCUACAAUGGCCGGUACAGAGGGUUGCGAUACUGUGAGGUGGAGCUAAUCCCUAAAAGCCGGUCUCAGUUCGGAUUGGGGUCUGCAAC